AACGUAGGACGCAAGCGUUAUCCGGAAUUACUGGGCGUAAAGCGCGUGUAGGCGGAUCAUUAAGUCACUGGUGAAAGCACCGGGCUAAACUCGGUGAGGUUCGGUGAGACUGAUGGUCUGGAGUCUGUCAGAGGGGUGCGGAAUUCCGGGUGUAGUGGUGAAAUGCGUAGAGAUCCGGAGGAACACCAGAGGCGAAGGCGGCACCCUGGGACAGAACUGACGCUGAGACGCGAAAGCAUGGGUAGCGAACGGG
RNAcentral lists this ribosomal RNA (253 nucleotides) under uncultured bacterium. RNAcentral describes it as "partial 16S ribosomal RNA". It matches the Rfam family "Bacterial small subunit ribosomal RNA", at positions 524 to 776 of the family's 1533-position model. The record is from RNAcentral.